AUUUUUGUAAUUGGAAAUGGUUCCGGGCGGUUCGCCGCCACGGAUGAAAAGGGAAUCCGGUGAGAAUCCGGGACAGUACCCGCUGCUGUAAGUCCCCUCAAGGUUGCCGCAACCUGCCACUGGUGUAAUGCUGGGAAGGCGCGACGACUGGGACGAGUCAGAAGACCUGCCAUGACCGGAAAAGGAUU
Bacteroides eggerthii 1_2_48FAA is the source of this 188-nucleotide non-coding RNA. The record is from Rfam. NCBI's taxonomy places the organism in Bacteria, Pseudomonadati, Bacteroidota, Bacteroidia, Bacteroidales, Bacteroidaceae.